This 518-nucleotide ribosomal RNA is filed under the name Paenibacillus lautus. RNAcentral's name for it is "bacterial SSU rRNA". It matches the Rfam family "Bacterial small subunit ribosomal RNA", at positions 410 to 938 of the family's 1533-position model. The record is from RNAcentral. Lineage: Bacteria; Bacillati; Bacillota; Bacilli; Caryophanales; Paenibacillaceae.
GACGGCCUUCGGGUUGUAAACCUCUUUUAGCAGGGAAGAAGCGUAAGUGACGGUACCUGCAGAAAAAGCGCCGGCUAACUACGUGCCAGCAGCCGCGGUAAUACGUAGGGCGCAAGCGUUAUCCGGAAUUAUUGGGCGUAAAGAGCUCGUAGGCGGUUUGUCGCGUCUGCUGUGAAAACCCGAGGCUCAACCUCGGGCCUGCAGUGGGUACGGGCAGACUAGAGUGCGGUAGGGGAGAUUGGAAUUCCUGGUGUAGCGGUGGAAUGCGCAGAUAUCAGGAGGAACACCGAUGGCGAAGGCAGAUCUCUGGGCCGUUACUGACGCUGAGGAGCGAAAGGGUGGGGAGCAAACAGGCUUAGAUACCCUGGUAGUCCACCCCGUAAACGUUGGGAACUAGUUGUGGGGGCCUUUCCACGGUCUCCGUGACGCAGCUAACGCAUUAAGUUCCCCGCCUGGGGAGUACGGCCGCAAGGCUAAAACUCAAAGGAAUUGACGGGGACCCGCACAAGCGGCGGAGC